UUGGAGGGCAAGUCUGGUGCCAGCAGCCGCGGUAAUUCCAGCUCCAAUAGCGUAUAUUAAAGUUGUUGCAGUUAAAAAGCUCGUAGUUGAAUUUCGGGGUCAGUAGGUCGGUCGUGCCACUGGUAUGAACUGGUUUUACUGAUUCCUCCCUCUUGAAGAACUGUAAUGCCAUUAAUUUGGUGUUGCAGGGAAUCAGGACUGUUACUUUGAAAAAAUUAGAGUGUUUAAAGCAGGCUUUAGCUUGAAUACAUUAGCAUGGAAUAAUGAAAUAGGACGUUUGAUCCUAUUUUGUUGGUUUCUAGGAUUGACGUAAUGAUUAAUAGGGAUAGUUGGGGGCAUUAGUAUUCAAUUGUCAGAGGUGAAAUUCUUGGAUUUAUUGAAGACUAACUACUGCGAAAGCAUUUGCCAAGGAUGUUUUCAUUAAUCAAGAACGAAAGUUAGGGGAUCGAUGACGAUCAGAUACCGUCGUAGUCUUAACCAUAAACUAUGCCGACUAGGGAUCGGAUGAUGUUAAUUUUUUAAUGACUCAUUCGGCGCCUUACGGGAAAC
This 549-nucleotide ribosomal RNA is filed under the name uncultured Glomeromycotina. RNAcentral's name for it is "SSU rRNA". It matches the Rfam family "Eukaryotic small subunit ribosomal RNA", at positions 548 to 1098 of the family's 1831-position model. The record is from RNAcentral. Lineage: Eukaryota; Fungi; Glomeromycota.